RNAcentral lists this long non-coding RNA (7675 nucleotides) under Daucus carota (carrot). Its description in RNAcentral is "long non-coding RNA (DCAR_LNC000751)". Lineage: Eukaryota; Viridiplantae; Streptophyta; Magnoliopsida; Apiales; Apiaceae. The record is from RNAcentral.
AAUGGAGGAACAUUCUGCAGGCUCUUCAUUCAUGUGCACUGGUCCUCCCUUUUUCCCUGUCCACCUGAAACCUUUUUUAGCUCCAGGUUCAUGAGAAACUAUCUGCUCCUGUGAAGCAACAAUCCUUCGGCACUUCUUGCAGCGAUAGAUGAUUUGAGGUAUUGGCUCGGAUCUACAAUCUAAACUACUUGAUUCCUCCAUUGCAACAGUUUUCAAAUUUUAGUUGUACUAAAUGAAAUUGAAUGAGGAGAAUUAGCAAGACCAGUUAAACUUCAAACAUUAGCCAAGUGAGAAAAUAAAGACCCUCUUGUAAAAUUAAUAAAUAGACAAAUAAACUAUAAGUAGAUAACUUACACUGAAAAUUUAAAAUGCGUCUACAUAGUAUAUGUCCAGUUAGAUCAUUACCACGCAAAGAACAAUCAAUUAUUACUUCAAUCAGAAAUGGUAAACUUCAAACAUUUAUAUUUCAAUUUAUAUAUGCCACGUUGAAGAACAACAACAGUAUAAAGAAGCAACUUUUACCUAAAUUAUUCAGAGGUUAGCCGAAUUUAAUUAGUUAGGAUCUAAGCUUUAUAAUGCACCCGAGAUUCUUCCAGGCAUAACAUAAAAAUAAUAACUGGGAGAAAAGUCACAAAUAGCAAAGGUUCCAUAGGAAACACCUAACCAAGAAGAGGCACAAUCCACUGCAGAUUGAUGGAAACUUUGAAGGAACAAAAGAAGUUUAGCUAUACGACAACUUAAACUACAAAUAAAGUAAUAUAUAAAAAUCAACAACACCAACAAUGCCUCCUGAAAAUAUAUCAAGAGUCAUACCGCUGAUGUUGGAUGUGCAAUUUAUGGAACAAAAGUAAGUAGUUUAAGUUCACAAAAUGCAAGCAUUUAAGUCAUAUUUAACAUCCCUUUUCCAAUCUUUUUCAGUUGUUUUGAUUGCUACCUAAAACAUAUAAAUCAAUGAUUGAUCAAUCUACACUGCUGACAAGCAAUCUACUACUCACCCUUCUCAGAUACAAUAAGAUGCCCUAGGGUGCAUAAUGGCUACAUUAGUUACUAUAUUCUUACACAAGAUAUAUAGUAGAAGGCACAGUAAAAUCAUAUAUCACUUUCUAAUCUAACUUCAUACACAAGAUGACUCAACUUAAAAUAAAGCCAGCUCUGCCCAACUUCAAGAAAAAAUCAAAUCUUCCAGUUAAUUUAUGCUUUAUAGUUAUUUUCCCUAUUAAUGAAGUAACGUGGCCAAAGAACACAAAUCUGAUGAAGCUUGGCAGCAACCAAAUGUUGACAUCAAAAAAAAAUACACAAUCCCCUUCUGUCAAAUUUCUCUUCUAAUUAGCAAUUCGAUAAAGUAUGAAUAUCCUAAUACCACCAAUACAAGUAUCGUCUACAAAGUACUGUUUAUAAAUUAUUAUUCAAGAAAAAGCACCAAACUUUAGCGUGUACGAUAAAUGAGUUCAGCAUAAUAAACAUCCUAUAAGGUGGACUAUCUCAUACAACCGAUCAAAUAGCAAUUCUUGCAUAUAUUAAUCAUUCUUAUUUGUACAAACCUAGGCAAAACUAAAAAUAACCACUUUUCUGUAUUAUUUUUCCAAGACUUUAAACAACUAAUUAUGACAACCCCUCUUUCUGAAACACAAGUAAAGAUCAAACUCCUAGAACAUAAGUAUCAGAUACAAAGAAACAGGGCUUCUAUGCAUGUCACUUAAACAAACAAGAAAAACCCAUUAUAGUUAUCAGUAAAUAUAAAUCACUUCUACACAUAUUCAUCAUGUCUAUUACUCCUACAUGAUUAGUACUUAAAAAAACAUAAUCAAGCCCAGGAUUUUGCACAACAACAAAAACAUACAAACAGAGACUGUGUGUACUAUAUAUAGAGACAACAUCAGUAAUAAACAUGGGAAAAGGACAGGUGGGAUCAUAAGCUUACCUUGUAAUAAGCAUGAGGAAUUGGCGUCGAGUCUGUAGUAGUAUUAAGCAAUCUCCUAAAGAGUUUAAUAAAGUUUAUGAUUCUGUUGGGGAUGGGAUGGGAAGACAUGUGUAACGACGUCGUUGCGAUGUACUUAAGAUGGACUGGACUUCGUUAUUGGUCUUUCUGGACUUGUGAUGGGCUGCUCUUGAAGUGAGCUGAUCUGCUCAGAGUUAUUGUUUUCUCAGCUAAUUAGCCCAGAGUUUAUUCUCAGCCUUUUUUAUUUAUUUAUUUAUUUAAUCUAGAGUUAAUUUGUUUGGUAAAUAGCAUGGUUUUAAAAAUCAUAGAUGUAAAGUGUUGAUUUUUCGCAUCUGACAAAUUAUUAUGUGUAUAUCUAUAUAGUUAAAUAAUUAUAAAAGGCGUAAUAUAAUAUGAAUUAUUAUAUUAUAAUAAUCAUAUACCUAUAAUCAAGUUAGUAAAAAAGUAAAUCAGUUUAACUCGAUUUUAUUUUAAAAAUUAGUACUCGAAAAUCGGAAAGUCCUCGAAGAAUUAUCUGGAUAUUUUAUUCUCUCAUAUUUAAAAUUUAUUUCAAUAAAAUUAUAAGUGUACUUUAAACUUAAAACAUUAACAAUAAUAAUGUUUUAUUAUAUAAUAUAUAGGUCAAUUAUAUACUAAUAAUAUUAAUAAUUUAUUAAUAAAAAGUCAUAUUACUGAUAAUACGUUAAUAAUAAUUGAGCUAAUUAUACAUUACCUAUUUAUUAAUUUUUGAUAAAAUAAUAAAAUAAUUUUAAUAGUCAACUACAAAUAAUAUCCCUUUUAUUGUCAUAACUAAAAAUAAUAUCUCUAACCAUUCACAUAUUUCCGAUUUCGAGAAUUUGGAGUAAAGCCAAGUCUUGCGGUAUUUUCUCAGAUUUUGCACGCGUGAAUUUUUACGAAAUUAUUUACAAAAUCAAUUUUUUUUUUUUUUUUUAGAAUUUGAUUACCCAGAACUCGGAUCACUCAGUACUCGACCUGACUCCUGACUCUUAACACAACUCAAAAAUUAUCAAAAAAGAAGAGUACAUUACGGCUGAAUUGAAGCUUAUUUUCGUGGAAAAAGAAACCCGGGUGAAGUUAAGAAUGGUGCAUGACAUACUUAGAUUUAGGAAAAUAAUGAAAAGUAUAUCGAAAAAUGUCAAUAUAUUUGGUGAAAAAAAUAAUGUAAUUUUUUAAUUUUUUUAUUAAAUCGAACCACUAAUCCGAUUGGCAUACUAUCACACCUAUACCUACUAGUAUGAUAGCCUAUCCAAAAAAAUCGAACUUAUAACCCUAAUAAUAUAAAGAUAUAAUAUAAUACUAGCCUUUAACCCGUGCGAAGCACGGGCGGGUAUAUAUAGUUCGUAAUUUAUUAUUUAUAAUUUAAUUUUAACAUCAUUUUAUUAGUAUUUUAGUAUUAACGGAUUGAAUUUUAAUUAAAUUAUAUUAUUCAACUGACUAUAUUUUCACCCGAUUACUUGAAAAUGGACAAACCCUAAUACACACACAGUAUUUUAGUACAUUUAAUCCGAAUUUAGUAACGUAGAUUUAAAUAUAAAAAAAAUCAGAAAAUUUAAAUCUUUUCCGAACAUAACCGUCGUGUAAUACCUUUGAAAGAUUUAGUAAAUUAGUCGAAUUUCAACAUAAUUUUGUAAUUUUGGUUUUUUGACAACAAUAACUUUUAAGAUUAGAGUUGGAAAGGGUUAUAUAAUGGUUCGUGUUUAUAUUGAGAUAAAACACGUUAAAGUUAUAAAGAGUUAUACGAAGGUUCUUAUUAAAAGAAGAUAUUUAAAAUUGUAUAUUUAUAAUUUUAUUUAUAACAUCAUUAUAAUUUUUUUAAUAAAACAUUAUAUGAUAAUGGAUUGUUAUGAGUGUUUUUAGGAUUUGAAACUGUUUAACAAUAUAAUACUAAUAGAAUCUAGAUUUGUAGACUUGUAGCACUAAAAGAAGAGUACCAAAGCAAAAAAUAUAACUAAAACUUUGGAUUACAAUUAUAACCAUGGCUUAUAGUAGGAGUGUCGAAUGCGGGAAGAAGUAACUGCAUAGCCCAAAUCAGCCGAUCAAGAUACGUGGACAGUUACAACAAGUCCACUAGUCAAUACUAAGUCAUGCAGUCAAUCUGAGCGCGAUUUACGUUGAAUUUAGUAUAAUUACAAGAUUUUUAAAACUAUUUUUUUGUUGAGCACGGUUAGAUAAUUCAAAAUUAAAAACUUAUCCUUUGUUGUUCUAAAUUUUAGAUUGUCUCUCAAUCAAUCGAGAAUUUAUUAAAAUAAAUAUUUAUUUCAAAUUUAUCUAUCAUCUCCGACUUCUGUAACCCUUAAUGUAGAGACCAAAUUUUCUACUAAAUUUAUAUUUUAUUUAUGACAUGCUAACUUAAAUUAUUUUUCAAUAUUCAACUUAAUAUAUAUAUAUAUAUAAUAUUUUUUAAAUACAUAAUAUUAUAAUAUACAAAUAUGUUCAUGAUUAUUAUAUGUAUUAACGUACUUUUUGUAUUUUUAAUCUAUAAAGUUAUAAUAUUGUGUAAUAUUAUUAAGUGUAAAAAUAUUAUUUUAAUAAUUAACUAAAUUUAUGUAAUUCUAAUAUAAUAAGAUGUUUUUUUUAUCAUAACAAAUAUUUAUAUUUAUUUUAUAAUGUUUACUCUAAAAUGUUGUAUAAAAAUGUUAUAAUAUUAUCAUUAAAUAUCUUUUUAUUAAAUAUGUUAUUUUGUUUUACAUAAAUCUAAUGAUUAUAGCUAACAAUAUGUGUUUUAAUAUUUUAUAAGAUGUGUUUUACUUAUAACAUUUAUUUAUUUUUAUUUUAUAAUGUUUACUUCAAAAUAUUGAAAUAAAUAUUAAAUUGUUAUGAUAUUAUCAUUAAAUAUCUUUUUAUUAACUAUGUUAUUUUGUUUUCUCUAAUAUAUAAUAAAAUUAGUUAAUUUUAUUAAAAUUUAUUUUAAAAUAAAAAAAUAUGUUACAUAUAACUAAUGAUUAUAACUAAUACCACCUAAUCCUCACAUGUUUAAUAAAAUAAAAUCUAAUACUAUUUUCCAGGUGCCUGGGCGAAUACAUAUGUGGGCCUUAACCAACAAAAAUAUCCAGCGAUAUGAUUAUAACUUACGUCAUUUAUUCGAUAUUUUUUACCCUUAAUUUAUAAAGUCUAAGCAGUUAAAAGGCGUCGGAUUUAUUAAAAUUUUAUUUUAAUUCUGACGGUGAGGAAAAUGUCUUGCUCUUGGAGAUGCUGUCCGGUGGAAAAUUAAAAACUAGGACUCAUCUAGUCAUCUUAAUCUUCCUAUAAAUGAGCUGCAUGCAUGCAUUGUAGACUACACAAAUUAUUACUACUAAGCUUAGUGAGUCUGGUUAAGUACACUGUGCUAUGGCUUCUCAAUAUGCCUUGUGCAUGGCUCUUUUCUUGUUGAUCAUGGGAAUUCUGCUGCCCUCCGAGGUUUCCUCGUCUCGGUCCGGACCGCACCUCGGAAAAACCAUGUUCGAAAGGCAUCAAGAAUGGAUGCUUCAGCACGCUCGGGUGUACAAAGAUGCCAUGGAGAAAGAGGCGAGGUUCAAGAUUUUUAAGGAAAAUGUGGAGCGUAUCAAAGCUUUUAAUAGCGAUCCAAAUAGAGGAUUUAAACUAGCUGUUAAUCACUUUGCCGAUUUAACCGAUGAGGAGUUUCGAGUUAUUCAUGCCAGUGGUUACAACAGAAGCAUGAUAAGGACAGCGCCGUUCUCGGGUUCCUCAGUAAGGCCGGAAUUUAACUAUGGACGCCGUAAUAAUUUUAAGUAUGCAAAUGUACAGGGGGUUCCGCCUAGUGUGGACUGGCGAGACAAAGGGGCAGUCACGCCUGUCAAGAAUCAAGGAUCAUGUGGUAAGUGUUUCGGGUUUUGUUAAUUAUUUUCCUAUCGUGUCCUGUUUCAGAGUGGGACAUAUCGAGUAUGUUUAUAACUGGUUUUUAAUUGUGAAUGUUUGUGAAUAGGUGACUGCUAUGCAUUUGCAUCUAUUGCUGCUGUAGAAGGUCUUAAUGCAAUUGCAACUGGACAACUAGUCUCAUUAUCUGAACAAGAGAUACUGGACUGUGACCAAUCAAACAACCACUGCAAUGGUGGUGCCAUGGAGAACACUUACGACUUCAUUGGGGAAAAUGGUGUCACCACCGAAUCAGAGUAUCCGUACAGAGAACAACAAGGCUACUGCAAAAAUGCUGCGUCAAAUCCAGCUGUUCAGAUCGGUGGAUACGAAGAUGUUCCUAGAAACAGCGAAACUCAAAUGCUUUUAGCUGUGGCGAAUCAGCCCAUUUCAGUUGCUGUCGCUGGUGGUGAUUAUUACUUCAGAUAUUACAACAGUGGUAUUAUGGAUAUGGAAUGCAGCACGGGCACUGAUCACGCGGUUGCAGUUGUGGGCUAUGGUGCGACAGAUGACGGACGUAAGUAUUGGAUUGCCAAGAACUCCUGGGGCACAAACUGGGGAGAAAAUGGAUAUAUCUACCUAGCCAGAGAUGUUGGAGAUCCUCAAGGCCUCUGUGGCAUUGCCACUAAUCCGGCGUACCCUACUAUGUGAAAGGGCUGGAACAUACAUAUGUUAUCCUCGUCAUAAUUAUUCUACACUAAGCUCUUAUAUAUGGUGUAUAAUUCUAUUAAUGAAAAUGAGCAUGGCUCCAUGUGCAAAUUAUAUAUGAACAUGUGGAUCCUAAACAUAGGUGCUCACCACAAUACUUGUACCUUCAUAAUUUCUUCAGAAACGACAUUGCCCUGGAGAGUGGCCAGUUAUAGAAAAACUAUCUUCUUCCGAGUCCAAAAGUCGAGCCAAUAUAGACCUUUUAUCAGCAAUUCAAAAACUAAUGAUAUACUCUACAAAUUGAUGCAGUAAACUCUUUGCAAAAGUUAAACAGAGUUAUUCAGUUAAUAUAAGAAAAUGUCAGCGCUAAUAGGAGUUACAAAAUAUAGAAUUAAAUUAGUACCUAAGAGCAGAUUUUUUUUAUGAUUAUAGAUCAGAUCAACAAUAAUGAUAAGAUCCCGCGGUAACUAUAUGUACUACUAUUGUUUUUAGCAUCCUGGAUACUCCCUCUGUCUCAUAAUAAGCGUCGCUUUGAUUUUUAACACGUAAUUUGAGGUGUAAAAAAAACAUAAUUCUACAUAUUAUUUUUUUCCAAAUAAAAAUUUAACAUCUAUAUUUUUAUUCAGAUAAAGAAAAUUUAAAAAAUAAUAUAUAAAAAUAUGUUUUGUUUACACCACAAAUUACGUGUCAAAAGUAAAGCUACUCUUAUUAUGGAACAGAGGGAGUAUAUCACUAAAAUAUUAAGAUAGUUGAUGAGUCAACUCACAGACUGCAUUCAUCCACCCGAUUUUUGUGCAGCUGAAAUGCAGGAAUAGCCCAUGCUCCACAGUUGCACCGCAUUCCUGCCCAAUUGAACGAACCCAGGCGACCUUUACAGCCAAUGCACUGCAGCUUCUGUCCCACAAAACCUUCUUGAACUGUCAGUUCACAAUACAACCCGAUGAGACAUUUAAUAGAACAAGUUGUUUAGGAAAGUGCAGUAUUCAGGAUUUUGAUGAAGAUAAACCUGCUUCCAUCCACUUCAUAGGCUCUACAUAAAUGGACGAACAUUCUGCUGGCUCUUCAUUCAUGUGCAAUGGUCCCCCCUUUUUCCCUGUCCACCUGAAACCUUUUUUAGCUCCAGGUUCAUGAGAAACUAUUUGCUCCUGUGAAGCAACAAUCCUUCGGCACUUCUUGCAGCGAUAGAUGAUUUGAGGUAUUGGCUCGGAUCUACAAUCUAAACUACUUGAUUCCUCC